Molecule: ribosomal RNA, 467 nt
Filed under: uncultured bacterium
Lineage: Bacteria
Description: partial 16S ribosomal RNA
Rfam family: Bacterial small subunit ribosomal RNA
Source: RNAcentral
GACGAACGCUGGCGGCGUGCUUAACACAUGCAAGUCGAACGGAAAGGCCCUGCUUUUGUGGGGUGCUCGAGUGGCGAACGGGUGAGUAACACGUGAGUAACCUGCCCUUGACUUUGGGAUAACUUCAGGAAACUGGGGCUAAUACCGGAUAGGAGCUCCUGCUGCAUGGUGGGGGUUGGAAAGUUUCGGCGGUUGGGGAUGGACUCGCGGCUUAUCAGCUUGUUGGUGGGGUAGUGGCUUACCAAGGCUUUGACGGGUAGCCGGCCUGAGAGGGUGACCGGCCACAUUGGGACUGAGAUACGGCCCAGACUCCUACGGGAGGCAGCAGGGGGGAGUAUUGCACAAUGGGCGGAAGCCUGAUGAAGCAACGCCGCGUGCGGGAUGACGGCCCUCGGGUUGUAAACCGCUUUCGCCUGUGACGAAGCGUGAGUGACGGUAAUGGGUAAAGAAGCACCGGCUAACUACGU